UCACUUGAGCACAAUCCAAGAUGAAAGUUUCUGGGUUGUGUCCCCUUCGCUUCCUCUCACCCUCGCUCCCCCGCGGAGCCAAGGAGCCAGCAAUUGUGCAAGAGGAGACCGGCGCACAGGGCGCGUAUCACGGAGCGCAUGGGCCAGCAAGCCGAACGCCUCCAGCGCGGCCGGGACGGAGGAGCGGCUCUGGGGAAGACGCCGAGGCUGCGCCCGAGUCUGAACGAAGCUGCCUCCAGCCACAUGAAGUCAGUAGGGCUGUUCUGAGGGGCCCCGAGAUUUGAUGACUGUUUUUUAGGUUGCGGAACCUACUCCGAGAGAGCAAACACUUUGGACGAAGUGAUUCAUAUUGAUAGAUACAUUUGUUGGGAGGUGGCUUUUUUCAUUCUCAACAGAAAACAAAGAAAUAAAUUAAGUCUUCCCCUGAC
Molecule: long non-coding RNA, 428 nt
Filed under: Homo sapiens (human)
Lineage: Eukaryota; Metazoa; Chordata; Mammalia; Primates; Hominidae
Description: HSALNT0147058
Source: RNAcentral